GGCUCAGAUUGAACGCUGGCGGCAGGCCUAACACAUGCAAGUCGAGCGGUAACAGAUCUAGCUUGCUAGAUGCUGACGAGCGGCGGACGGGUGAGUAACGCGUAGGAAUUUGCCGAAUAGUGGGGGAUAGCCCGGGGAAACUCGGAUUAAUACCGCAUACGCUCUACGGAGGAAAGCAGGGGAUCUUCGGACCUUGCGCUAUUUGAUAAGCCUGCGUGGGAUUAGCUAGUUGGUGAGGUAAGGGCUCACCAAGGCGACGAUCCCUAGCUGGUCUGAGAGGAUGAUCAGCCACACUGGAACUGAGACACGGUCCAGACUCCUACGGGAGGCAGCAGUGGGGAAUAUUGCACAAUGGGCGCAAGCCUGAUGCAGCCAUGCCGCGUGUGUGAAGAAGGCUUUCGGGUUGUAAAGCACUUUCAGUUGGGAGGAAAAGUUGUAGUUUAGUAAACUAUAGCCCUGACGUUACUAACAGAAGAAGCACCGGCUAACUCCGUGCCAGCAGCCGCGGUAAUACGGAGGGUGCAAGCGUUAAUCGGAAUUACUGGGCGUAAAGCGCGCGUAGGUGGUUUGCUAAGCGAGAUGUGAAAGCCCCGGGCUCAACCUGGGAACUGCAUUUCGAACUGGUAGGCUAGAGUAUGGUAGAGGUAAGUGGAAUUUCCUGUGUAGCGGUGAAAUGCGUAGAUAUAGGAAGGAACACCAGUGGCGAAGGCGACUUACUGGACCAAUACUG
This 730-nucleotide ribosomal RNA is filed under the name uncultured Gammaproteobacteria bacterium. RNAcentral's name for it is "bacterial SSU rRNA". It matches the Rfam family "Bacterial small subunit ribosomal RNA", at positions 21 to 742 of the family's 1533-position model. The record is from RNAcentral. Lineage: Bacteria; Pseudomonadati; Pseudomonadota; Gammaproteobacteria.